This is a long non-coding RNA of Choloepus didactylus (southern two-toed sloth), 6637 nucleotides long. RefSeq lists it as uncharacterized. Lineage: Eukaryota; Metazoa; Chordata; Mammalia; Pilosa; Megalonychidae. The record is from RefSeq and is a predicted model, not a curated record. The transcript is spliced from 2 exons.
AGCAGCAUCCCUUAUGGGAGAACUUUUAUUUUGAAAAAACAUACAAUGUAAUGUCUCUGAUUAAUUCCUUAAAUGGUCAAUGUUUGGAGUGAAUCAUUUUCAUGUGAAGAUUGAGUAUUUUGCGUGGGUGCACUACACAGUGACACCUGUACAUUUGUUUCCCUUGCGAUCGUGCUGUGAAGGGCUCUUGUUAGAUCUUCUGUUUUCACGGAGAAGCCAUAAUUUGUGUCAGGAACUCUGUGGGAUCAGGGAUUUUUGGCACAUGCGAAGGGGACGAGCCAAGGGGUAGAGCCACCGCCGACGCUGUCGUCACAGUGGGCUGAGGCCGGAGCCCCAGCUGCUGGCCCCUCGGGGCUCCCCCACCGCACGGGCGCAGCGGGACCAGAGCAGCAAGUGCUGGCUGUGUCCUUCCACCUGGAUGUCACACGGCACGUCUGAGACAGACACCAUUCGCACCCAUCCCUUGGGAAUAUUGAAAUCUUGGGCAUCUGGGAAGCCUGCCAUGCGUGGGAUUCAUAGCAAGAGCUAAACUUGUUUUGCCCACCAAGUCUUCCAGGUGAGAGUUUGAAUCUUUCUUUUCCUGAUCCUUUCCUGUUACGUCUAAAUUAGAGUCAGUGUGACCACCGUGUGCGGCAGUAAACUCGGUGCAGCUUCUCUUCUGCUUCUGGUCGCCGACAGGGUCCAGCCCACGAGGGCAGUCGGACACCGCUUCAUCGUAACUACCACCACAUCUGUCGUCCGCGCCCUGGCUCUCUCCAGAGCGCUCAGCUCGUUCAGCCUCUCAGCAGCCCUUGGGAAGGGCGCAAUCAGGACCCUUGACAGAUGGGAAAUGGGAUGGGACACCAAGAGGAAGGAUCGUGCCUGGGAGACAACCAGCGAGAGGUGAAGCACAAACGAGGGCCGUCAAACGAGCCCUCCCCGGCCCUCCAGGCCAGGCUGCCCUCCUCCUGGAGCAUUUCGUUUCUUUCCGGGCCAGGAAGGAAUAAACACAUGAGUUAGCUCAUGCCAUAAAGCCACUGUAAGCAAUCAUGCUAAAUAUCCACCACCUCAUUUCACAGCUUAGGUGAAUCCCACAAAUUCCUAGUAUUUUGAGCAAAAAUACAGAGGACCGGCAGGAUGUGCACUGGAUGAAGUCUCUGCUAACAGUGGUGGUGCCCUGAGGUCAGUGAGAGGCGUCUGUUCCUCCAGAAGUCCCAGGCCGCUGUGCUGCUUCUGCAGCCGUGAGCCGAAUACAGCCCUGGGGCACCUGCUCCCCGAGGACGGUCUUGGGAAGCUCCUGCCCCUCUCUCCAGUGCGCGAGUUGCUCUCCCCAGGGCCUUCACUCCGCUACCUCAACAGACAGCGGCCAGUUAUCAACUGAGGCUGACCUCUCCCGGCAGCCCUCCCCUCACCGCACGUCCUGCCGAAUCCUCUUGCUGCGCAGCUUCCUGUGCCGCAGUGUUGUGUUUGCUGGUGCACCUGCCUGAGCUGCUGCACCGUAGCUCUCCUGGGAUGGGCGGCGUCUUCCCUUGUAACCGCAGUCCCUCCCGGCGUCUGUCAGAAGGAGAGACCUUCCGUAGAACUUGCUGAGUGAGUGGACAAGUGAAUGAUCAGCAGUCACUGGGAAGAUCGUCAACACGGAUAAGGGAAGAAGUCAGCAGCCCUUGUCCAGGCAGGGAAGGAGGAGCCAUUUAGGAGACUGCAAAGGAUUGAGGAGGAGAAAAGUGAUGGAAGCCAGGAGAGAAGAAGUUUCCAGAAAGAGAUAGUCACCUCAGUGUCUAGUGCUUCAGAUGGCCCGAUACCCGCCUUUGUCUUCGGAAGCCCGUGUUUCCGCCUCAUGCGCAGCUUCUUGAGCUCCUGUGACUCGGCCAGCGGACGCCGCCUUCUGCUCGUUCAUUCGGUGUUGAUGCCACUUCCCUUGAUAUGCACGUUUCAAUAGUACUCAUUCCCGUGCUGUCAAACUUCUCUCUCCAACGUAGUUUAUCUCUUUAAAUUUCCCUAGGCCAGGUGCCUGUCUUAUGGUUUUAAAAAUAAUUUUGAAUAAAGUGAUUAAGAACUUAGGAUAAAUCCUUGCAUGUAUUUUAAAGUUCCUCAUCCCAUCCUUCAGUCUUUAAUCUUGGCAAAAGUGCCUACCUUUUGGGCUGCUUCUUGAUAUAAUCAUAUAUGUGAUAAUCUUCCCCAUCCUAAUAAAAAUAGGUCCCCUUUCUGACCUUUACAGAAAAUUCAGUCCUCGCCAUCGAGUUAUCUACCUUUACUUCCUCCCCAAGCCCGGAGCUGUGGGCUGUGUGUGCAAAUGGCGGGACAACGCGAAUCUAAAACUCUUGUUCUUUAGAACACCUGCACACUUGAUCCUUAUUUUUAUGAAUCUUAGAUCACAGUGACUUAGUUCUCAUUUCAUAUUUCUAUGUGGUGCAAUAGUAAUGACCAAUAAUCUGCCAAGCCCUAGCCUCUGUAAUUGACAGAAGGCAUCAUAGGAUUUGUCCUCACAUCCCCAACCAUGCGUUCCCUCCACAUGGUAUUCCUUACGGUACCUCAAAAAAGGCAAAAAACCCUAAAGCUUCAAAAAAUGGUAAUUCUUUUUUUUUUUUAAUGUUUUCCCAUUGCUUAAAUCUUUGCAAUAAUUAUUGUAUUAACUGCUUUCAGGUAUUAUAGAAUUUGCAGGAUAAUACUGAUUAUACCUUGAGUUCAAAGAAAAACAUAACCAUUCUUACUUUCACAUUUUUAAAAUUACGGAUUUGAAACGUUAAAAGGAAAAUUUAAGCGACAGUUGCAGUUAUUCCUUAAAUAAUAAUUGUCCAUGUUAGUGCAGCUGGAGGGUGCCCCAUCUGGUUACCCUUCUCUGCAUGCACCUCGUGUCUGUAAGGCUCCGCGCACUGAGCUGAGUCGCCCUGGGUGUGGCUUCACUUCCUGCGGCUGCUGUGAGUCCCGUAAGCUCUGGGGCCCUGAGCUGGGUCUGCGGGAUGGGAGGGGAGAUGCCUUGAAGCUGAGCCUGUGUGACCUAAGUAAUAAAAUCACUUUUUCCCUCACCUAGAAAGAAUUGAGUCAGAAAUAGUAUGAUUUUUAAAAAUUAAAAUCUGUUAAUGUCCUACUGUGGUAGAAAAACUGGUUCUAGAAACUGUAGGACAAUUGAUAGAGACUCUACACGUCCAUGGUUUUCAUCCUCAUUCAUUUCAUUCUAUGUUUAUACAGGGAAUGGCUGGCCCAGACCAGGCCUCCCCUGCACUGAUCGUUGCUUUGCUGAGGCGGAGGCGGGUGCCCUGGCGACAGGCGCCUCAGUGUUCGCAGCUCCCUGGCCUUGGAGCGGAGAUGGGGGUCAGCAGGGGGGAAGCCCGGCAGCCGCUGCCCUGGGGCGUGUGCUGGGGGCGCCUUAUCCUUAGUCUAACCCUGUGCCUCCCAUACGGUGUCCCGUAACAUGCUGUGCCAGGAAAAGAAUUCCUUGACAAAGUACUUUUGAGGAAAAUACUUAGCCCCUUGAGAAAUUCACAGCACAAGUUAGCAAAUCAACGGUUCUGAGAAACGUCUGUUAGACAAGCCUGUUCAACCUUGUUGAACCAGACCUUUUUGUUGCAUAACACCUGCUAACAUCCCAUGAAACUCAUGUUCCAGGAAACAUGCUUUGGGGAUGACAUUCUAAACUUGCUGGAGGCAGCAUUCAGAGAGGCCUUGUGUCUUCAGCACAUGGGCACUGCCAACCAAUAGUGUCACAUCCCAGGGGUCACCCCUGGGUGCGUGCCAUUUACUUUUUGUUCUUGCUAGUGACCUAGAGAUCCUGAGAAUGUGCUUAUUAAAAUCGGUAGCUGUCAUCUCAGAGGAGAACUAACAUUCAGAGCAGUCAUUAUCAGAGUGCAGCAGGGGAUGUGGUGGAUUGAAUUGCGUACCCAGUUUGCACGUGUUCUUGGUCUUGGUCUGCAUUCUAGUGGGUGUGGACCCAUUGUAAGUAGGAUUUCUUCAAGAUGUUCUUUCAUUUAAGGUGUAGGCAGACUGAAUCAGGUUGAACUUUAAUCCAGAUUGCUGGCACCCUUUAUGAGCAGAAUGGAUGUCAGAUGGAGGAGGAAGUCACGGGGAGCAGCCAGGAGCCAAAGUCAGUGGAACCUGGAGAAGACGUCACCAUCUGCAAUGCCUUAGAGCCCCAGAGACUGCAGGCCAGUCGGAAGACCCCCACCAGGGAGGAGGAGGCACACCUUCCAGCCUCUGAAACCUUGAGCCAGUUAAUUCCUGGUGUUAAGCCAACCCUUUGAAUGGUGUUUGUUUUAGCAGCUGGGAAACUAGGCUGGGAGUAAGGGUAAGCAUGCCCUGAGGGGAGCCUUGACCACGACUAGUUAGUUGAAGCUACAGGGAAGCAGCAGUUCUAUGUGUUUACCAAAAGGUCGUGGGAAACUUCCAGCAGGAGUGGAGUAGAAGAAUGUGGAUUCAUCCUCCCGCCUUGAACAACUAGUAGACUGGAUAAAAUAUAUCAAACAAUUGUAUUCAGAGGUCAAACAACAGGCAAGUAGGGACUAUGAUCCCUGAAAGAAAAGAAACAGCUGAGAGACUUCUGGAAUUAACGUAGCUGAAAGUGCUUGACACCUUGAGCAGUGGUGUGGACAGGCUACGUGGGGAGCAAUAACGGAGUGAGACCAGGGAGGGCUCCUUGGAGUCCUCUGGGGAGCCAGAGCUCCCACCCACCCAGCAGUAACGAGGAUCCCCACCUUAGGGAGUCAGUGAGUGACGGGCCUGGGCUCCUUCCCACCAGCACUACUCUGCUGCCACAGCAGCAUCACGGGAACCACCUAAAACAGAAGAUUUGCGUACAGUCCAGGGUCUUCUAACAUGACACCCGAAAUACCCAGAUUUUAGUCGAACUUCACUUGCUGUGAUAAGAACCAUGAAGAUAUCAAACUGCAUGAAGAAAACACAAUCAGCAGAUACUGUUAGGUCAAUUUGUGUCCCCCAGAAAAGACACGCUCAAGUCCUAACUCCAGGCCUGUGGAUGUGACCUUCUUUGGAAAUACCUUUAGAAGAUGUGAUUAGUGAAAAUGAGGUCAUACAGGGAUUAGGGUGAGUCCUUAUAAGAAGGGAGCCACUGGACACAGAGAGGAGAAUGCCAUGUGAAAAUGGAGUCAAGAAAGAAGGACAUUUGGAGAUGAAGGCAGAAUGUGGAACGAUGUGUCUCCAAGCCGGGGGCAGCAGGAUUGCUGGUACCACCUCAAGCUAGAAAGGAGCAAGGGAGAGCUCUCCCAUACAGGUUCAGAAGGAGCAUUGCCCUGCCCACACCUUCAUUUCAGACUUGCUAGCCCCUGUGACCUUGUGAGCCAAUUCCUCUCUUAGAUGUGUACAUACAUGCUGUGUGUGUUUGUGUGUAAACACAUAUAGACAUGUAUCCUGUUGCCUGUUUCUAUAGAAAAUCCUUACUCAUACAGAUGCCUAUACCAAGAUGAGAGAGCAUUUAGAGAUAUCUAACAAAGAUGUUAAAGCAAUCAUAUAAAAAUGUGUCAGUAAGCAAUUAUUAAAAUGUUAAAGAAAUGGAAAAAAUAUAGUCUCAGCAAAGAAUAGAGACUAUAAAGUAGAAUCAAAUGAAAGUUUUAGAGAAACUAGAGAAAUAAAAUAACUGAAAUUAAAAAUGCAGAUGAGCUCAACAGCACAAUGGAAGACAGGAAACAAUCAAUGAACUGGAAGAUGGAACAUUAUAAAGUACCAGUUUGAACAACAGAGAGAAUAUAGACUGAAAAAAAUUACAAGAGCCUCGGGGAUCUGUGGGGCUAUAACAAAAGAGCUAGCAUUUGUGUCACUGGACUCGUGGAAGGAGAGGAGAGGAGUGGGGCAAAAAGGUACUCAAGGAAAUAAUGUCUGAUAACUUACCAAAUUUGGCAAAAGGCAACCUGCAGAUUUAAGAAGCUCAGCAAACCCCACACACAAUAAACUCAAAGAGAUACAAACCCAGGCACAUCUUCCUUAAAUUUCUGAAAAAUAAGGAAAAGAAAAUAUCUUGAGAGCAGUUAGAAAGAAAGGACACCUUAUAGAUAAUGAGAAACAAUUUGGAUAACAGUGAAUUUCUCAUCAAAAAUCAGAGGCCAAAGAAUAUAGCACAGCAUUUUUUAAGGGCUAAAAGAAAAGAAUUGUCAACACAAAACCCUAUUCCCGGCAAAAAUAUCUUUCAGGAAGGAAGGGGAAAUCAAGGCAUUCUCAGAUGAAGAAAAACUGAUAGAACUUGUUGCUACUAGACCUACCCUAAAAGAAAGGCUAAGGGAAGUUCUCUAAACAGAAUGGAAAUGUUAAAAGAAGGAGCCUUGGAACCUCAGGGAGAAGAAAAAUGGUAGGCAAAAAUAUGGGUUUAAGUUUUCUAAAUUAUUUUUGAUAAUUGAAGCAAAAAUUAUAAUACUGUCUGUAUUUCUGAAAGAAUAUAGGGGAAAUAUUUAAGACAGUUAUAAGUGAAGGUGAGGGGGAGUUAAGAGACAUAAAAGGAUAUAAGAUUUCUACACUUCUCUUGGACCAGUAAAGUGACAACACUAGUAGCCUGUGAUAAGUUAUUUAUAUAUAAUGUAAAGCCUAGAGCAACCACUAAAGUUCUGUAAAGGGACACACUUAAAAACACUAAUUAGCCGAAGAGGAAUUAAAAAAGAAAAAAAAAAACAAGAAAAGAAAAUCAGAAAGAUCAAACAAAAAGUGAAGUAAGAUAGCA